Molecule: ribosomal RNA, 800 nt
Filed under: Arthrobacter sp.
Lineage: Bacteria; Bacillati; Actinomycetota; Actinomycetes; Micrococcales; Micrococcaceae
Description: bacterial SSU rRNA
Rfam family: Bacterial small subunit ribosomal RNA
Source: RNAcentral
UGCACCGGUGAUUAGUGGCGAACGGGUGAGUAACACGUGAGUAACCUGCCCUUAACUCUGGGAUAAGCCUGGGAAACUGGGUCUAAUACCGGAUAUGACUCCUCAUCGCAUGGUGGGGGGUGGAAAGCUUUUUUGUGGUUUUGGAUGGACUCGCGGCCUAUCAGCUUGUUGGUGAGGUAAUGGCUCACCAAGGCGACGACGGGUAGCCGGCCUGAGAGGGUGACCGGCCACACUGGGACUGAGACACGGCCCAGACUCCUACGGGAGGCAGCAGUGGGGAAUAUUGCACAAUGGGCGCAAGCCUGAUGCAGCGACGCCGCGUGAGGGAUGACGGCCUUCGGGUUGUAAACCUCUUUCAGUAGGGAAGAAGCGAAAGUGACGGUACCUGCAGAAGAAGCGCCGGCUAACUACGUGCCAGCAGCCGCGGUAAUACGUAGGGCGCAAGCGUUAUCCGGAAUUAUUGGGCGUAAAGAGCUCGUAGGCGGUUUGUCGCGUCUGCCGUGAAAGUCCGGGGCUCAACUCCGGAUCUGCGGUGGGUACGGGCAGACUAGAGUGAUGUAGGGGAGACUGGAAUUCCUGGUGUAGCGGUGAAAUGCGCAGAUAUCAGGAGGAACACCGAUGGCGAAGGCAGGUCUCUGGGCAUUAACUGACGCUGAGGAGCGAAAGCAUGGGGAGCGAACAGGAUUAGAUACCCUGGUAGUCCAUGCCGUAAACGUUGGGCACUAGGUGUGGGGGACAUUCCACGUUUUCCGCGCCGUAGCUAACGCAUUAAGUGCCCCGCCUGGGGAGUACGGCCGCAA